GGCCUCAUCGUCUAGCCUGGUCUAGGACACUAGAUUCUCAUUCUAGGAACUCGGGUUCAAAUCCCGAUGAGGCCG
Non-coding RNA from Candidatus Buchananbacteria bacterium, 75 nucleotides. The record is from Rfam. NCBI's taxonomy places the organism in Bacteria, Candidatus Buchananiibacteriota.